Molecule: long non-coding RNA, 670 nt
Organism: Mus musculus (house mouse)
Lineage: Eukaryota; Metazoa; Chordata; Mammalia; Rodentia; Muridae
Product: predicted gene, 53642
Exons: 3
Source: RefSeq, a predicted model, not a curated record
AUGGCCAUGGUACCUCUGAAGAUGAGAAGGCUGAGAUGAAAUUGCUCUGAUUCCUUGUCCUUUUCCACAGAGGGACAGAGAUUUCUUCCCCAAAUUGGCCAAGGAUUCAUCAUAUUAGCAGUUCCUGCAGGUUGUGAAUUCAGACUGUACUGCUCUGGUUCAAGGUCCUCUCAUGAGACUGAGUUGAUGCUGCAUCAUCCAAAGCCUCCCUAUAGCUGGAGGAUCACCUUCCAAGAUGGCUCAGCCAUAUGACUUCUGUUGGCAUCAGCCACUGUCCAGGCCACUAGCUGCUCUCCAUAUGCAGACAAUGAGACCUGUCACCUCACAUGCCUGCUGCCGUGCCUCCCCCUGCUCACCCUACUGAGGCCAGCAUGCUGGUCUUCUGGAGUUGGAGAGAGAGAGAGAGAGAGUCUGGUGAUGUCCCAGCAGAUGGCUCAACGAAUGAAGUCUGAGAGAAAAGAGAGGUAUACAGAAAGAGGAUCCUAGGGAUCUAGAGAGAGAAAAAUUGAUCCAAAUACUAAACAUAGCAUGCAAACCACAUGAGUGGAUCUGAGAGAAAUGAGGGAAAUUGUCCCUUAGCUGGUUAUCCACCCAGACAAUGUAAUCGACAGGGCACACUCUCUAGAGUACUCGGGAAGGUUUUGCCUGAGUCGUGACAAAUAUUUAGUCU